GGGCCCGCACAAGCGGUGGAUUAUGUGGUUUAAUUCGAUGAUACGCGAGGAACCUUACCAAGGCUUAAAUGGGAAAUGACAGGUUUAGAAAUAGACUUUUCUUCGGACAUUUUUCAAGGUGCUGCAUGGUUGUCGUCAGCUCGUGCCGUGAGGUGUUAGGUUAAGUCCUGCAACGAGCGCAACCCCUGUCACUAGUUGCCAUCAUUAAGUUGGGGACUCUAGUGAGACUGCCUACGCAAGUAGAGAGGAAGGUGGGGAUGACGUCAAAUCAUCACGGCCCUUACGCCUUGGGCCACACACGUAAUACAAUGGCCGGUACAGAGGGCAGCUACACUGCGAAGUGAUGCAAAUCUCGAAAGCCGGUCUCAGUUCGGAUUGGAGUCUGCAACUCGACUCUAUGAAGCUGGAAUCGCUAGUAAUCGCGCAUCAGCCAUGGCGCGGUGAAUACGUUCCCGGGCCUU
Molecule: ribosomal RNA, 461 nt
Filed under: uncultured bacterium
Lineage: Bacteria
Description: bacterial SSU rRNA
Rfam family: Bacterial small subunit ribosomal RNA
Source: RNAcentral